This 253-nucleotide ribosomal RNA is filed under the name uncultured bacterium. Its description in RNAcentral is "partial 16S ribosomal RNA". It matches the Rfam family "Bacterial small subunit ribosomal RNA", at positions 524 to 776 of the family's 1533-position model. The record is from RNAcentral.
UACGAAGGGUGCAAACGUUGCUCGGAAUCAUUGGGCGUAAAGCGCACGUAGGCGGCUUCGCAAGUCGGAUGUGAAAUCCCUCGGCUCAACCGAGGACGUGCAUCCGAAACUGCGAGGCUUGAGUACUGAAGAGGAUCGCGGAAUUCCCGGUGUAGAGGUGAAAUUCGUAGAUAUCGGGAGGAACACCAGUGGCGAAGGCGGCGAUCUGGGCAGAUACUGACGCUGAGGUGCGAAAGCGUGGGGAGCAAACAGG